Molecule: long non-coding RNA, 404 nt
Filed under: Marmota monax (woodchuck)
Lineage: Eukaryota; Metazoa; Chordata; Mammalia; Rodentia; Sciuridae
Source: RNAcentral
GAUUUUCACUUUUCUUUUCCUUUUUCCUCUCUUGCUUUCACAUACGAGAGAAAACAUAUGCUCCCUUGACCUUAUGAGUUUAGCUUAUUUUGUGUAACAGAGUGUUCUCAAGUUUCAUCCGUUUUCCAGCAAAUGACAUAAUUCACCUUUAUGGCUGAAUAAAGCUCCAUUCUGUGUAUAUGCCACAUUUUCUUUAUUUAUUCAUCCUUGAUAAGCACCUAGUUUGGUUCCAUAGUUUGGCAACUGUGAAUUGUGCUGCUAUAAACAUGGGUAUGCAUGUACUACUCUAGUAUUAUGACUUUAAUUCUUUAGGAUAAACAUUGAGUAGUUGUAUAGCUGGGUUAUAUGGUGGUUUCCUGCCUAGUCUUUUGAGGAACCUCCAUACUGAUUUCAAUAGUGGUUAU